This 1467-nucleotide ribosomal RNA is filed under the name uncultured prokaryote. Its description in RNAcentral is "partial 16S ribosomal RNA". It matches the Rfam family "Bacterial small subunit ribosomal RNA". The record is from RNAcentral.
AUUGAACGCUGGCGGCAGGCUUAACACAUGCAAGUCGAGCGGUAACAGAGAAAUAGCUUGCUAUUUCUGCUGACGAGCGGCGGACGGGUGAGUAAUGCUUGGGAAUCUGCCUAGUCGAGGGGGACAACAGUUGGAAACGACUGCUAAUACCGCAUACGGUCUACGGACCAAAGGAGGGGAUCUCGGAACCUUUCGCCAUUUGAUCAGCCCAAGUGAGAUUAGCUAGUUGGUAAGGUAAUGGCUUACCAAGGCGACGAUCUCUAGCUGGUUUGAGAGGAUGAUCAGCCACACUGGGACUGAGACACGGCCCAGACUCCUACGGGAGGCAGCAGUGGGGAAUAUUGCACAAUGGGCGAAAGCCUGAUGCAGCCAUGCCGCGUGUGUGAAGAAGGCCUUCGGGUUGUAAAGCACUUUCAGUUGUGAGGAAAGGUUAGUAGUUAAUAACUGCUUACUGUGACGUUAGCAACAGAAGAAGGACCGGCUAACUCCGUGCCAGCAGCCGCGGUAAUACGGAGGGUCCGAGCGUUAAUCGGAAUUACUGGGCGUAAAGCGCAUGCAGGUGGUUUGUUAAGUCAGAUGUGAAAGCCCGGCGCUAAACCUCGGAAUUGCAUUUAAAACUGGGUAACUAGAGUACAGUAGAGGGGGGUAGAAUUUCAGGUGUAGCGGUGAAAUGCGUAGAGAUCUGAAGGAAUACCAGUGGCGAAGGCGGCCCCCUGGACUGAUACUGACACUGAGGUGCGAAAGCGUGGGUAGCGAACAGGAUUAGAUCCCCUGGUAGUCCACGCCGUAAACGAUGUCUACUAGCCGUUGGGAGGCUUGACCUCUUAGUGGCGCAGCUAACGCGAUAAGUAGACCGCCUGGGGAGUACGGCAGAAAGGUUAAAACUCAAAUGAAUUGACGGGGGCCCGCACAAGCGGUGGAGCAUGUGGUUUAAUUCGAUGCAACGCGAAGAACCUUACCAGGUCUUGACAUCCCGAGAAUUUGCUAGAGAUAGCUUAGUGCCUUCGGGAACUCGGUGACAGGUGCUGCAUGGCUGUCGUCAGCUCGUGUCGUGAGAUGUUGGGUUAAGUCCCUUAACGAGCGCAACCCUUGUCCUUAGUUGCCAGCACGUAAUGGUGGGAACUCUAAGGAGACUGCCGGUGACAAACCGGAGGAAGGUGGGGACGACGUCAAGUCAUCAUGGCCCUUACGAGUAGGGCUACACACGUGCUACAAUGGGGCGUACAAACGGUGGCCAAGCCGCGAGGUGGAGCUAAUCCCAGAAAACCGAUCGUAGUCCGGAUUCGAGUCUGCAACUCGACUCCUUGAAGUCGGAAUCGCUAGUAAUCGUGGAUCAGAAUGCCACGGUGAAUACGUUCCCGGGCCUUGUACACACCGCCCGUCACACCAUGGGAGUGGAUUGCACCAGAAGUAGAUAGUCUAACCUUCGGGAGGACGUUUACCACGGUGUGGUUCAUGACUGGGGUG